AGUAGAAUGGCUGGGUCAAAUUGUGGUUCCAUUCCAAGUUUUCUAAGGAAUCUCCAUACUGCUUUUCAGAUUAGCUGUUCCAAUUUGCAGUCCCACUAGCAAU
RNAcentral lists this microRNA precursor (103 nucleotides) under Marmota monax (woodchuck). The record is from RNAcentral. Lineage: Eukaryota; Metazoa; Chordata; Mammalia; Rodentia; Sciuridae.